AUGCCCCCUCAGUUGCGCUUCCCCACCGUCCUCCCCAACCUAUACCCCCACCUCCUCCUCCCCCGCUCCCUCCCCUCUCGCCGUCUCCGCCUGCCGCCGCCCCCGACCCCGCGCCACCCGCUCCGCCGCCUGCUCUUCCGAGGCAUGGCCUCCUCCGCCACCGGCGAGGCGGCGCCGGCCGCCGGGACGAGCGGCGCCGGAGAGGCCUCCACCCGCCCGCGGCGCGCGCUGGAGGAGCUCGCGUGGGACGAGACCUUCGUCCGCGAGCUGCCCGGCGACCCGCGAUCCGACAACAUCCCCCGCCAGGUGCUGCACGCUUGUUACACCAAGGUAUCUCCCUCGGCGCCCGUGGAGAACCCUAAGCUCGUGGCGUGGUCCGAAUCCGUAGCUGACCUCCUCGAUCUGGAUCACAAAGAGUUUGAAAGGCCUGAUUUUCCUCGGUUCUUCUCAGGAGAAACUCCGUUGGUGGGAAGUGUGCCUUAUGCCCAGUGUUACGGUGGACACCAGUUUGGUUCAUGGGCUGGUCAGUUGGGGGAUGGACGAGCAAUAACUCUCGGAGAGGUUCUCAAUUCUCGAGGUGAGAGGUGGGAGUUGCAGCUCAAGGGUGCUGGAAAGACUCCUUACAGCCGAUUUGCAGAUGGCCUCGCUGUCCUGCGCAGCAGCAUCCGUGAAUUCUUAUGCAGUGAAGCUAUGCAUGGUCUAGGCAUUCCUACAACUCGUGCUCUUUGUCUAGUUGAAACUGGCAAAUCUGUUGUGCGAGAUAUGUUCUAUGAUGGUAAUGCAAAAGAGGAGCCAGGUGCAAUUGUGUGCCGUGUAGCACCAUCGUUUUUACGUUUUGGUUCAUACCAGUUACAUACUACAAGGGGCAAAGAGGACCUUGAAAUUGUUCGUCGUUUGGCAGACUACACAAUACGUCAUCACUACCCACAUCUUGAAAAUAUUAAAAAGAGUGAAGGUUUAUCUUUUGAGGCAGCUAUAGGAGACUCUCCAGCAAUAGAUCUUACUUCCAACAAAUAUGCUGCCUGGGCAGUUGAGGUUGCAGAGCGUACUGCUUACUUGAUAGCCAGGUGGCAAGGUGUUGGUUUCACCCAUGGUGUGCUUAACACUGAUAAUAUGAGUGUGUUGGGCCUAACUAUUGAUUAUGGACCCUUUGGUUUCUUGGAUGCUUUUGAUCCUAGCUUUACUCCGAAUACAACUGAUCUCCCAGGUAAGAGAUACUGUUUUGCAAAUCAACCUGAUGUUGGUUUGUGGAAUAUUGCCCAGUUCACUGGGCCAUUGUCGGCUGCGGAUCUUAUCAGCAAGGAUGAAGCAAAUUAUGUUAUGGAGAGGUAUGGGACAAAGUUCAUGGAUGAAUAUCAAUCUAUAAUGACAAAGAAACUUGGUCUGUCAAAAUAUAACAAGCAGCUUAUUAGCAAGCUGCUGAACAACUUGGCUGUCGAUAAAGUUGACUAUACAAAUUUUUUCCGUCUUCUUUCGAAUGUCAAAGCAGACCGUGACAUCGCAGAAACUGAGCUACUUGUUCCCAUAAAAGCUGCACUCCUGGAUAUUGGGAAAGAAAGAAAGGAAGCAUGGAUUAGUUGGGUACAAACAUAUGUUGAGGAGCUGGUGGCUAGUGGUGUCUCCGAUGAAGAAAGGAAAGCCACAAUGAACCGUGUCAACCCAAAGUAUGUUCUUCGGAACUAUCUCUGCCAGACAGCGAUUGACGCAGCUGAUCUAGGUGAUUACGAGGAAGUUCGCCGGCUAUUGAAAGUUAUGGAACAUCCAUAUGAUGAGCAGCCGGGAAUGGAGAAAUACGCCCGCUUGCCACCGGCCUGGGCAUACAGGCCUGGGGUGUGCAUGCUAUCCUGCUCGUCAUGA
This 1857-nucleotide ribosomal RNA is filed under the name Triticum aestivum (bread wheat). Its description in RNAcentral is "partial small subunit ribosomal RNA". Lineage: Eukaryota; Viridiplantae; Streptophyta; Magnoliopsida; Poales; Poaceae. The record is from RNAcentral.